RNAcentral lists this ribosomal RNA (495 nucleotides) under uncultured bacterium. RNAcentral's name for it is "partial 16S ribosomal RNA". It matches the Rfam family "Bacterial small subunit ribosomal RNA", at positions 28 to 507 of the family's 1533-position model. The record is from RNAcentral.
GAUGAACGCUGGCGGCGUGCCUAAUACAUGCAAGUCGAACGCUGAAGGAGGAGCUUGCUCUUCUGGAUGAGUUGCGAACGGGUGAGUAACGCGUAGGUAACCUGCCUGGUAGCGGGGGAUAACUAUUGGAAACGAUAGCUAAUACCGCAUGACAACAGUUAUUGCAUGAUAACUGUUUAAAAGGGGCAACUGCUCCACUACCAGAUGGCCCUGCGUUGUAUUAGCUAGUUGGUGAGGUAACGGCUCACCAAGGCGACGAUACAUAGCCGACCUGAGAGGGUGAUCGGCCACACUGGGACUGAGACACGGCCCAGACUCCUACGGGAGGCAGCAGUAGGGAAUCUUCGGCAAUGGACGGAAGUCUGACCGAGCAACGCCGCGUGAGUGAAGAAGGUUUUCGGAUCGUAAAGCUCUGUUGUAAGAGAAGAACGAGGGUGAGAGUGGAAAGUUCACACUGUGACGGUAUCUUACCAGAAAGGGACGGCUAACUACGUG